This is a long non-coding RNA of Dinoponera quadriceps, 4077 nucleotides long. RefSeq lists it as uncharacterized. Lineage: Eukaryota; Metazoa; Arthropoda; Insecta; Hymenoptera; Formicidae. The record is from RefSeq and is a predicted model, not a curated record. The transcript has 3 exons.
UUUGUAAACAAUAGUAUUUUUUCGUUGUGGACAUAUAUGAUUAUACGAGUAUAUAAUCAUAUAUGGGUCAAUUUCAUGUAUGAUCUCUUUUUACCCGGACUCUUCAUAUUUUACUGCGAUAAUUUGUUCGCACAAUUGAAAUAUCGAAGAAAUAUUAUUCAAAAUAUAUUAGUUCGUAGUUAAUAGAAUUUGUAUUUUUAAAGUAUUAUAUCGACAGAUUUUUAUGGAUAAAGAAUAUUUGUUGAGACUUCUCUUGUUUCUCGGAGAUAUCGGUUUGUUCUUAAGAUUAUCUUAAGAAUAUCUCGUCAAUAAAAUGACUUUUCUGGAGCGAACCAAUGUCCUCGAUUUGCAAAAAUGAACACAGCUCACGUGUGCAUUCAGGUAUCUUAAACUUGAUGCUAAUCGUAUUCUGAUUAAGACAUUACAUGCCAUAUUUACUUCAAAAAAAGACGCUACUUAUUUAAUCAAAAACUUCUUCAUUAUAUGAUAAAUAAUGUGCUACAUGAUAUGAAAUUGUACAAUAUUUACAUGGAAUUAAUUUGCCACGUUACUAAACUUGGAAACAUAGAAAAAAGCCGCAUCAUAUGAUAUACAGGUGAAUGCAGAUACGAGAUUCGCUGGUAUGAGCUUCGACAGGUGCGAUGACCCGAAAACGUUUUUUUUUUUUCGGAGCCGUGGGCGUCGAUAGGUGUGACCUGAUGUUUCCGGUCUGUCGCCUAAAUCACGAAAGUCGUGAGCGCGCAUUUAACCGUGAUCACAGGCGCGAUCGUAAUCUAGGAGAAAAGCACCUAACGUUAAUAAAUUCCCGGUCGGUCGUCUACAUAUCGGGCAUUCGUAUCGCGAUUUAAGAUGGCGAAUUAGGGUCGUAGCCGGUGAUCUAGGACGGAUCGGUAACGCCGCGACUUGGUCGUAACCCCGCGCGGUCGUUAGGCCCGCGCAUAGAGUCUCGCGGGAAUCGUGUAUAGCUCUGUGUCGUGACACACGUAACAAUCAGGACGACCCUCUGGAGGAAGGUAGAUUGUCUCCCCGGCUGUCUCGGCGACGAUCUCGAAAACUAUGAGUGUAUAACAUCGCACGGCGCGCAAUAAAGUCUACCUUAAGGCUGACCGAGGAGUAUACCGAGGCUCCUACUUGCGAGGGAUCUUUAACGGAGAAAGAGGAGACCGUCUGGAGAUAAAUGGCGACGGUACAGUGAACAAACCGAGAUAAACGAGAUUUUUCAUCUUACUUUUGCAUUCAGCGUUAACGCUCUUCGGUAAUUUAAGGGAAUGCUUCGUCCGUGACUCUCUCGCGCCUAAGAUGGAGUGAUUACUCCGCGGUAGAGCUCGGCCGUUUCUCUUUAUUCCCUCGUGACAGCUUUUGAAACAUUAAAAAUCGAUAUUACGUCUCUCUUUCAGUUUACCGUUUUGUUUUUCGGCUUGAGCCGCUUCACUUCUGCGAACUUGAUUGUCAAGAACGUUUCAUUUCCGCCCGUGACACGGUCUUGAAAGGGACCGAAGUUAUUAUCUAUCUACACACUGUGACGCGGACCAGCUGAGACUCCGAGCAAAAAAUUGGCUUCAUUAUAGGACGCAAUUAAAAGAUGAUAAUGGAGGGUGCGAGGGAGGCAGGGCGGGAGAACGCGCGCUGAUGUACCCGUUGAGCGUGAUGUGUAUACAGUGUCCCAGAUCUAUCGAGUAAUGUUACAGAAGGCAGAUUUUCAUCGAUUACUUGGAGCGACGUUUCCCUCGAGAUAACUUCGCGCCGAGCUACCGAUAUUCCUCGAGCUUAAGAUGACCGAAGAUAAAGAGUUCCUUACGAAUUACAUACGGAGGUAUCGAUUCCGAGUCCCCACGGCGGGAUUUAUUCCCGAGGCCCGACACUUGAAGGAGCGGCGCAAUUACUGGCUGGCUAAAUCCCGGGCGGUGUCUACACGCACCGUUAAAAUACAAAGCGGAAGAAGCUGUCCGGAGAAACGGAUGAAUUGCAAUCGCUGCGGUGAAAUAUCACUCGCGGUACACCCCGUACAGAGGAGCGGUGGCAGGCAAGGCGAGACAGACGGGAGCGUAAACAAGGAGAACGCAUCGCGGGGGUGGCACAACGGGGUACGAGGGCGAGGGGGUUAUACCCGUCGCUCAUGCGCGCCUGGAACCCCGCCCUGUCGCUUCGGACCACGGCUCUGUCCCGUCGAGGACUCUUCGCCGAGGUAGUCGAAUAGUCACGCUUUAACCCGCGAUCCGGCAAGGCGGAGGACGGUGCUCUCGUCAGGUACGCGCGAGUGCUCGGACGACGCGAGAGAGAAGAGAGGAGAGGAGGCGCUUCGCGAGGCUGUAUCCGAGGAUCCAGCGGAGUCCGCCGCGAGAUCACGGCGGGGCCGGUGCGUGUCCCAUGCACUUCGGUAAGGAUCAACGGCGGCGGGUCGAUCGAUUCGCGACGGAGAGUCGCGUGCGACCGGAAGUUCGGAGUGCCGAUCGUCCGUACCGCUGCGCGGCGAUCGGUUGAGUGGACGGGAUCUCCGCCGAGAGAGAGUUUUCCGCGCGAACGCUCCUUCGGAGCCAACUGUAGAUCUCGCGUUCAACCACGACAGAGGAGGGAGCUUCAAGGUGGAGGCUUUCGCGCGGCCCACGAGGAUACGUCGGCUUGCUCUCUCGCUACCGGACGGACCGAUCUGCUAUUACUUGUGACAGGUUGUCGAGUGCGCUGACCACUGUUGAUUGCGAGCGAUGCGGCGGCAUCGUCGGCAUCGUUCGGAUGACUUCCUGUAGGAUAAUCGGUCGGUCGUAACGCUCUCGCGAGGAAUACUGAUACACGGGGAAUACGAAGAAGAAGAAGAGUACAGUCGCGCACCGUUCGUCAUAAGUUUACAAAUCGCGAGAUAUCCAGCUCGCUCGGCUCCUCGAAUCCGUCGUUUAAAUAGCGCAACGUGCGCUUCACUGAUGCAAGAAGAGGAAGAAGAGGAGGACGAAUAGCAGGCCUAACUUGGGAUCAACGGACUAACACACACUCGUACGGUUUCCUAACGCGAGGGCCGCGAGCCUCCGAGUGAUAUCUUCCCCUUCACACGCGGCCUACCGUCGAAAUGCGCGAUUUCCCACGAAACCGCGGCGUCUGAAAGGUCGGGAUCGAUCGGCUCAAUUUGAUAAUCUGAAAGAACCUUAGGCGUACCAAGGUCGUUAUGUAUAAGCGAUAAGGCAGGGCCUGUCCACGGCUGGAAAGUGAAGGAGCCGAGACUCACUUUCUCUCUCUCUCCAGAGAGGGGGAGAGAGAGAGGUGAGACUCUCGAGCAGCUGGUACGUGGCCUAUCUAUCGCGACGCGCGGUUUCCAAGGACCCACUCGUCGAAGAAGAUGCGGAUGUAGCGCGGCAAUCGAAUUUCGCCGAUCCGCUCGCUCGUAAUAUGUCGAGCUUGGUACACCGCGGGAAGGCGUGCUCGGAGGCUCAGGAUAUCGAAGCGCGGCCUAUCGAUCGCGAGAUCGUCGCUCGCGUUCUUCGGCUCGCCAAAAGGAAGCUCACGACAAUAGAGCGCCCGUCGAUCAAACGAUCACGGAGCAUCGUCCACUGAAUAUUCGGGCCGUCGCGAAGUUCGUCAUCAUCCAAAAUUACAUCUCCAGUAUCGUAUCCCUCGGUACGGUUCAACGAGUCCUUCGACAGGACGCCGUGUUGUUCGGCGAGCCGAGGAAAACGGCCCCGCUCGAUGCCUCCUAGGCAAAGACGCGAUCGCGCACACCUGAUCCCAGCUCACCCGCCGGACGGUUCGUCGACUCGAAGCAGACGAUGGUCGACGACUCUGCGUCUCUGCUCGACAGUUGAUCCUGACAGGAUCAAAGCAACGGCCCACGAGAGCCCAGGCGCGCUCUGUGAGAAAGCGAUGAUCAGCUGCCGGUAGAUCGGCGCGCUCGAUGAGUCGUCGCAGAAUCGAGCGUCGAGCAGCAGCAGCAGCCAGCAUCGCCACCCGGGGAAGCCGGAGAGGAAGCUUCGCAUAGCGUCGUCGUCCCCGACUCGACAGCCGUCUUGAUGCGCGGAAGCAGCUCCGAACUGCUGCUGGAGCCGUGUUGCAGCCAGUGCCAGUGCGAUCACGAUCGGCAUCAGCGUCGAAACA